Molecule: transfer RNA, 73 nt
Filed under: Cricetulus griseus (Chinese hamster)
Lineage: Eukaryota; Metazoa; Chordata; Mammalia; Rodentia; Cricetidae
Rfam family: tRNA
About the family: Transfer RNA (tRNA) molecules are approximately 80 nucleotides in length. Their secondary structure includes four short double-helical elements and three loops (D, anti-codon, and T loops). Further hydrogen bonds mediate the characteristic L-shaped molecular structure. tRNAs have two regions of fundamental functional importance: the anti-codon, which is responsible for specific mRNA codon recognition, and the 3' end, to which the tRNAs corresponding amino acid is attached (by aminoacyl-tRNA synthetases). tRNAs cope with the degeneracy of the genetic code in two manners: having more than one tRNA (with a specific anti-codon) for a particular amino acid; and 'wobble' base-pairing, i.e. permitting non-standard base-pairing at the 3rd anti-codon position.
Source: Rfam by way of RNAcentral
CUCCAGCUAGCUCAGUCGGCAGAGCAUGAGAUUCUUAAUCUCAGGGUCAUGGGUUAGAGCCCCAUGAUGGGCA